UUCGUCAGGGCCUGAGCUUGACCGCCUCUCUCGACGGUACAGUUCGUCAGGGCCUGAGCUUUUGAAAACCGUUGAUGCUCAAGUUCCCAUUUACUCUAUGCUAAGUAACAAAGUUGAUUACUUUGGCAUUUAUAACCCCUUUUGUUUGUGAUAGUAAAGUUGAUUACUCUGUGUUCUAUGUUCUCUAGGUCAUUCCUUCUCUUUUGAGUGAGCUUCAACUAGCUGUUAAACGACAUGAAUCUAGUAAGUUAGUAGCUUAUGUUUCCGUUGAGGAUACAAGUCUUGUUGAUGAAGGUUCCAAAGAGUUGCGUGGACACAUCCGGAGAUUCAACCGUAACUGUUCUGCCUUGGCCGUUCAAAUGAACUAUCCUUUGAAUAUUUUAUCCAGGCAAAAGCCGAUGACAGCUGCUGCUUUCUCUGGGGAUGGCACUGUUCUAGCUGUUGCGGCUGAGAAUGUUAUUACCCUUUGGAAUCCGGACAAGAACAUUCUCUUGUCUGUUUUAGGAGCAACUCUUACGGUAAAAAGAAUUAUGGAUAUAAUCUUUCAAUAUACUAUACAGCCAAUCACAAAGCUCUGUUUCGCUGGAAAGUCUGAGUUCCUUGUUGCUGCAUCCCAUUUUACGAAACCUGAACUCUCUGUUUGGAAUACAUCAAAGCAAUCCUUAUCAUGCUCAUAUGGAUUACGCAUAGAAGGUAAGUCUUCAAAACUUCUCCUAGAAAGUUCUUGUUGUGUGUUAGCUUAGUAAAUGGUUUCUUCUCGUCCUGCAGCUGUCACAUCUGUGGUGAAUUCAUCAGCUUUUGCUGUCUUGGCUCUGAUCUGAUCCCAUAAACUUAAAAAAAAAAAAGAAUAUGUUCCGCGGUAGAGAUGGUGCCAUUCUCUUGUUCAACGGAUCAGAUCCUAACCCUGUAUCUAUAUGGACUGUAAUGAAGGUCUGACACAAAAAAAAAAAGAAAAAGUAAUGUUUCAUCCGUUUAAAUGAGAGACUAAAAUGAAAUAUAAUCUAACUCGCUGGCUGAGGGAGGAUCAAUCUCAUUUCUUGAAAGAGACGACAAGUCUCUGCUUCCUCUUGCAUAUGUAAAUGGAAGCUAUGAGUAUGUUGUUUUCGAUCCCAGUAGCGAUGAGACACAUGAGCGUAGCGCUGAGGGUCUUGCCGGUAACGAGGAGACAGGAGAUUUUGGGUACACGUCGCUGUACGGACAGUUGCCGGAUUAUGACAAGAAAAGAAUGGAGAAUGUUGAGUAGUUGGCAACACCUUUUGAAUCGUGAGAGAGACCAUAGGAAACGAUAUUCAGCGGUUCUACACUAAAUUUUCCGCCUCUUCAGAAACUAUGCGGUGAGUUCUUUGAGUCACUUAUGGAGAAAAGAACGGUCGUUGUGGAAUGAGAUAGGCUUUACGCAGACUUUACCACAAAAAAAGGUUUAUACAAAAGAAUUCAUUUUACAGCCAUCUUUAUUUUGGUGAGCAAAAGUUUUUUGAGUUUGUGCGUUCAUGAAAUUUUUUAGCUUCUUUUUGUUGCGAGGUUGAGUGAAAACAGAAUAUAUAAAUCUUAAAGCUGAACUUUAUCGUUAUGUGAUUAUUGACUCAUUGA
Brassica napus (rape) is the source of this 1590-nucleotide long non-coding RNA. RefSeq lists it as uncharacterized. The record is from RefSeq and is a predicted model, not a curated record. The transcript has 2 exons. NCBI's taxonomy places the organism in Eukaryota, Viridiplantae, Streptophyta, Magnoliopsida, Brassicales, Brassicaceae.